Molecule: long non-coding RNA, 779 nt
Filed under: Physcomitrium patens
Lineage: Eukaryota; Viridiplantae; Streptophyta; Bryopsida; Funariales; Funariaceae
Description: long non-coding RNA (PPAT_LNC008915)
Source: RNAcentral
UUUGUAGUAUAGGAGUUGGUAUCUCGGGGUAGUAUAAGGAGGAUGGGAGAGGGGAAGAAAUUGCCAGACUGUGAGAAUUGUGAGCCGAGGGCCAGAUUGUGAGAGUUGUGAGCCAGAGUAAGCUUGGUGCUACCUCUUUUCUUUUGUUUGUUAUUUUCUUUAAAUAAGAGGAUUGAAAGUUUCUGAAUAUUGUGAAGUGAAUUAUGGAAUAGAAAUGUGAUUGGUAUUAUUUAAGAAGAAGAAAGAUUGAAUGCUGAAAUCUGAUUGUAGUUUAGCAGAGAGAAUGAGUCUGUAUUUGUGUGAAAUACUGUAAUGUGAAUGGCAAUUAUAUGUGAAGAAUUCCAGUGAUUGGAACGAGGGUAAUUGUGUGUUGAAAGCUGUGAGGGCGCAAUAUUACAGUUGGAGAUUAUGAGGGUGAAUAUAUUAGUAGAAAUAGCAGUUAUUGGUAUGACUGAAUUGCUGUAAGGAAGAGAUCGAUAAGGUGAAGGAAGAGAUUGUAGUUUCGUUAAGUGUUCAGAUAUUGAAAAUAGAGACGAUACAUUUAGGAGGUAAUUGAUUGUGUGACACUAACAUGAACGCUUAAGCAACUAGUCAUUCCCCAUGUUUGAAUCUCCCUAUACGGGUUUAUGCUAGGAGGUUUCUUCCAGAAUAAGUAAAACGAGAAAUCACACCUACUAAAAAUUUUCUUGAUUGAAAAGCUAUUGGAUGAAGUUUGUCAUGUAAUCCUAUUUGUGAUAAGAUUGCAUCCAAAGCAAAGUUAAAUGCAUCUACCUCCAUAA